RNAcentral lists this long non-coding RNA (5660 nucleotides) under Brassica napus (rape). Its description in RNAcentral is "long non-coding RNA (BNAP_LNC023386)". Lineage: Eukaryota; Viridiplantae; Streptophyta; Magnoliopsida; Brassicales; Brassicaceae. The record is from RNAcentral.
AUCUGCAUGCAAAGCGAUACGCAAGUCAGACUCCGUAAGCAAAAGAUAAUAACCGAAAAAGAGUUCAUAGAGAUGUACUUGAGAAAAUAUUGCAGUAACGAUUUUAGUAACUCGCUGUCGUUCUUCUUUCCAUAUAAGAACUUUCUCUUCUCAAUUUCAAUUUCUGCCAAAUGUGGACCCCUUAAGUUACUAUUCUCAGUAUCUCUCUGUAACUUCUGCACCAAUUCUGAAGCACUUGAUAUUCGAGAAUCAAACUGCAUGUUGACAAAGAAAUUGGAUUUUAUAUAUAUGCCAGAAGUUAAGAAAAUAAACAAAGGAACACGAACUGGGAUUUUAAGUCUGGCAAGAGGUUAGUAUUAUCACCAUUUCUUCUGUAAGGUGAGAAAACUUGCAUUCUAUGUUUUUAGUUGGAUGAAUUUGAUCAAUAUCGUCAAAGAAUUUCCACAUGCUGUCAUCUUCAAACAAACAGCCGAGAUAUUGUAGGAAACACUCCCAAUCAUCUGGACUGCCAAGCGAACAAAAAAAACAUGUCAGCAUACCGACAGAAACAAUCGAAAGAUCAAUCCGGAAAGAGAGCCAACUCUGAAAACACUGAGUACACUGUGGCGGGGAGUGUGUUUGCCUCGGAAGGCUCGGUGUUAGUAGUACAGCAACAGGUGAGGAACCAGAAGGGUAGUGGUUUCUUGAAUGGCAAGUUUGAUUACAAGAAGUUAGUGUCUCAUUGGUCUUGUAAUAAUUGUUAGUUAGGACAUAUUGCUUAACUGAUUAGGUUUCUUUUUGUUUUGUACAUUCUGUAUUUUUGGGAUGAUUUUGCUUUCUAAACAAAAUUUGUAUCCAAGUUCAUUGUACAAGCUAAUAAAUUCCAAUGUAGAAGAAGCUUCAGUUGGUUGAUCAAUUUGUUUUUCAUUUUUUUUUUUAUUAUAUGCAGCUACAUUGUUAGAAUUUCACGGAUAUUUCACUAAUAAAAUAAAUAAAUAAAAUUAUUUUUUAUAAGAAAUUUGUAGGUAAAAAAACUUAAAAUAUUAAUGAAAAUUGAGUAAUUAUUUUAAAUGAUUUAUUUAAUUUAAAUAUAUAACUAAGAACUUUUGGCAAUAAAAAUACUCCAAAAACAUCUUCAUAUAUAUGUUUUCAAAAGUUAUUCUGAAACAAAAAUAAGAAAAAAUAUAUAGGUAUCUUGAAAUUUUGUAAAAAUAUUUUAUAUGUUUAUGAGAUAUUAUAUAAUAAUAAUAAUUUUUUGAGAUUGACAAAAAAAAAAAAAAAUAAUUUUUUGAGAUACUUAUAAAUUAUUUUUAUAUUUAUGAAUCAUUAUAGUUUAAUUAUAUUUUGAAAACUUGGAUAUUAGAGAUAGAAGUGUUUAAAGUGAUUCUACAAAUUGUUAAAUAACAAAGCCCAAUGGGCCAUUAUAGAGUGAACCAGACUAUUUCUUGAUAAGACUGUAUACCACUCUAAGUCUCUAACGCCGCUGCCCUUCCACCGUCGCCGGUACACUGAAUCGUCUUUAGCGGUAUGGAGGAAGACAUGGCAAACCGUCGAGUCUCGAGCCGUACUCGUAAGGUUGCUACGAAGAUGGCGGCAGCUCUUACAAGCACCGACAAUCGAACCCAGGUGUCUUGUCUGAUUUCGAAAUCACUUUUUGAUUUUUUUUUUCUUGGCAAUGAGACUUCGUUUGUGUUUGGUUAAUUCUAGGCUGCUAUAGCUAGGCUGGAAGCUUUAGAGAACGACAAUGGAGCCGUCGAGGUGGUUGAUUUGAACGAUGAUGAAGAAGCCUCUCUCGACGAAGACGAUGAUCUCGGUGAAUAAUCUUUAGAUACUCGCUGUGAUUAUGUAGGUCUUCUAGUUUUCAGUCAUGUGUUUGGUUUGUUGCAGGUUACGUGCAGAAGAAGCAGCAGAAAGGAUCAAAGCGUAAAACUCGACAAGCAAAAGCUUUGGAGGCUCGUAAAGCUCCCAAGUCCUUCACUGAGCUCUUGCAGGAGGUAAUGUAAUCAGCUCUUUGUUUAUCGUUUCUGCAGCUGAGAUCAAGCUAAUAUGGGUUCACUUUCAGGCAAAUUUGGAAUCUUUACCGUCGCAUGUCCCCACUUACUUGAAAGCAGCAGUGGGACCUCCGACUUCGUCUUCUCGCCGCCAUUUCUGCACGGUCUGUGGGUACAUUGCAGGAUACAAUUGCUGCUUAUGCGGGAUGCGUUUUUGUUCUAUCCGUUGCCAAAACAUUCACAAGGACACUCGUUGUCAGAAGUUUGUUGCAUAGGAGAAUAGAUGUAAAACAUUUUUUUCAAAAAUUGUACUGAAACAUCACCACAUCAACGUGUGUUUUGUCAAGAAUGAGAAUGAAAUAGCCAAACAAAAAGCAGCGACGUUUCUCUCUAACGUGUUCUUAUGAUUUAAGAGGACCAAUCAAACAUGGGACAUCUGUUGUUUGAGCUUUUCCAGUAGCUUUCUCUUAGAUCCGCAGAUUUGGUGAAACUCACGGAGGACUCUCUGUUGCGCGGUGACUGUUUUACGUGCUGAGUCUGCCUUGCUCCAUGUUUUUAGUGAUUCAAAGAUGCGGCUACCAACCUCUGACUCUUCGCUGGAUGCGAUGAAACUCUCUAGAACCCCAAGAACCUGUCCCGGUCCUUCAUUCCUCUUCAGAGUUGUCAAAAAUCUCUCCACUUGAUCAUCUUCCGGGUUGUUGAUUUGAUUCAGUAGCCAGUUAGAAACUUCUUGUACUGUGCUGCAUAAGGAAUGUAUAGAAUCUUUGAUUGCUUGAGACAUCGGGGAGGAAGGUAAAUGAUCCGAAUGUUGCGCUUUCUUCUUCUUCUUCCCAGAUGGGAGAGACGAGCGGGUGCAAGCCUGAAUUACAAGACUGUGCCAAGCCAACGGUUCAGUGAUGAUCUGAACCAAGACCUGCACAUCAGAAUAGCAAGAAUUCAUCUGUGAAGAUCCCAUUGAUUUGAUUCUGUCCAGAAUAAGCCUCUCAAAUAGCAAGUUCAACACAUGCCAAUGCUCUUGGGAACUCAGGCUCCAAGCAUUCCAAAACACGGCAAAAUUCAACCAGUCAACAAGAUCUGAACCGAGCGUCUGCAGAGUUUUCCCACAAAGUCAAUAACAUUAAGACCAGUUGACAUGAGUGCACGUGGAAAGAGUAGAAUAAGCUAACCUCAAAAGUCCUUGCACCCUGUGAGAUCUCUGUGAUCAUCUCUACAGCGUCACUGAAAGAAGAUCCCAACGUUUUGGUGUACUCCUCCAGCAAAGACUUAAGUUCUUCGCAGGUUUUGAGGUCACCUCCAGACCCUUUGGUUUCAAGACUCUCCUUUAAUGCCGUUGCCGAACACUGAAUAGAGAGGUAUACCAUCCGAGGUAGAAGGGAUUUUCUCUGGAUGGAUCGUUUCACGUUUUCUUCACGAUCUUUGUUCUAUAGACAUGUAACAAUUACAAACAUUACUAAAUUGCAUCGGUCCCAAGUACAAGAGAAAGUGUAUUGAUACAGACAAACGUACCACAUUCUCUUUGGGACAGUAAGAAAAAUCUUCAAAUGAACCUACAGACGUUGUUGAUUGAUAUUAAGAAUAGCACCACAACAACAAAAAAAAUAAACAACUAAUAUAGUGAAGGAAAUACUUACCUAAUAGAUAGUUUUUCUCAGGACAAGGUGUCCACCAUGGUCGUGUUUGCAUAUCUUCAUUGAACCUCAGUGUCCUUGAUCCCAUUUCGUUCGAGAGCUCCACAAGUUGAACUCCAGAUUUCAGGUUUUCAAGAACGCGCUAGAUACAACAAGAAUACAUGCAGAGUUAGAUAUUAUUAUGAGAGGAUCAAAUAAAUGGACAUAAUUUACAGGACAAGGAUAUUGCAUUUGUUACCUCUUCUUCCUCGAUGCUAUCUGCAUUCUGCUUCAAUUGCAAUAGAGACGCUUCAACCCUCGCAGCUUCGUACUGGUUUGACUGCUGCAGUCUUUGUUUGAAUAGGACAAAUUCGAUAACCUGAGAUUUGGAUAAUUCAGAUAAGUCACGACAGUAACCAAAUGUACACGGGGAGAUGGUAACGUAGAGAAAUUCAAUAUGUUUACUUUUGAGUAAUUUCUGUGGCGGUAAGCAAGGAAUGUAAGGUCUGCUGACUCUUUCAAAUGAUCAUCCAUAAACUUGAGAUAGUCUUGUAGGAGGUUAUUUAAAUCUACCCACAUGGGGGAUUCCAACAUUUGGCAAAGAAUAUGGUGUGAAACCGUUUCCGUCAAGAUGUUCUUCACAUCCAGAGCUUUAUACCUAACAGAAGGCAAACAGGUGGUUCAGUAAAACUAGCUGAAGAAGGUUUUAUUUUCCAGGAAAAAAAAAGUAAAAAUGAGAGCUAUGAAUACCGUUCAAAUGCAAGUGGAAGAGCACCAAUAUAUGAAUAUAUGUGUAACAGCAAGAUCUUGUACUGCCAGACAUGUCUGUGAAAACAAAAGGUAAUCAUCAAGUGGCACUGUUAGAAACUCAAAUCAACGUUUUCAUAGCUAUAACAAUUAGUUACUGACCCUCGGAUUGACAAGCCCAACUCAAGAACCAUGAUAGCCUCAGCAAGAUAGCAAAAAUCUCGAGUACGCCAGUAUAACUGGAAACAACAGCAAGGUUACUUAUAUAUAUAACAACUGGUUAUGCAGUAUCGGGGAAGCAUGCAACACAACCAAAGUACCUGGACCAACAUGUUGCUAAUCAAAGAUAGAAGUUCUUCCCCAAACAUACUCUCUUGAGGAUCCAAGUCCUUGGAAAGCGGAAGAUUUUGACAGUAUAACUUCGCCAGUUUGACUGCAGAGGCUUCAAUCUCUACAUAUUGGAAUGAAAGAUGGAAUUAUAAACCGAUGCAGAACACAUGCAGAGCAACUAGAUUGCAAUAAUAAGAAACCCACAUAGUGGAGGCAACAGGAAACUAUGAUGGAAAAUGAUGCAUUACACUGUACACCAAAACAGAGAGAUGUCAUAUGCACAAAAGAGUCGCACAGCUUGUAGAUUCAAAACUGAAUCUUCAUAAGGAGAAAACAUGGAAAAUUUUCAGAAGAAGGUAUGUGAGCAAAGAGAACACACCGCCAAGAGGAAGCUCAAAAACGUUUCCAGUCAGUUCUUGAACUUUGAGUAUGGUUGUUGUUUGACCAAGCACUGUGGUUGCUGAUGCAGAAACCGAGUCAGCAUUUUCCACUAACAUUCCGACAAACUCUGCCAUUUUAUGAGGGGGUAAUACUUGUAGGAAUGCUUCAACGUCGGAAGCAUAGCAAGCUAAAUGACCAAAUCUGCAUGCAAAGCGAUACGCAAGUCAGACUCCGUAAGCAAAAGAUAAUAACCGAAAAAGAGUUCAUAGAGAUGUACUUGAGAAAAUAUUGCAGUAACGAUUUUAGUAACUCGCUGUCGUUCUUCUUUCCAUAUAAGAACUUUCUCUUCUCAAUUUCAAUUUCUGCCAAAUGUGGACCCCUUAAGUUACUAUUCUCAGUAUCUCUCUGUAACUUCUGCACCAAUUCUGAAGCACUUGAUAUUCGAGAAUCAAACUGCAUGUUGACAAAGAAAUUGGAUUUUAUAUAUAUGCCAGAAGUUAAGAAAAUAAACAAAGGAACACGAACUGGGAUUUUAAGUCUGGCAAGAGGUUAGUAUUAUCACCAUUUCUUCUGUAAGGUGAGAAAACUUGCAUUCUAUGUUUUUUGUUGGAUGAAUUUGAUCAGU